RNAcentral lists this ribosomal RNA (569 nucleotides) under Nocardia sp. Its description in RNAcentral is "bacterial SSU rRNA". It matches the Rfam family "Bacterial small subunit ribosomal RNA", at positions 246 to 826 of the family's 1533-position model. The record is from RNAcentral. Lineage: Bacteria; Bacillati; Actinomycetota; Actinomycetes; Mycobacteriales; Nocardiaceae.
UUGUUGGUGGGGUAAUGGCCUACCAAGGCGACGACGGGUAGCCGGCCUGAGAGGGCGACCGGCCACACUGGGACUGAGACACGGCCCAGACUCCUACGGGAGGCAGCAGUGGGGAAUAUUGCACAAUGGGCGGAAGCCUGAUGCAGCGACGCCGCGUGAGGGAUGACGGCCUUCGGGUUGUAAACCUCUUUCGACAGGGACGAAGCGCAAGUGACGGUACCUGUAGAAGAAGCACCGGCCAACUACGUGCCAGCAGCCGCGGUAAUACGUAGGGUGCGAGCGUUGUCCGGAAUUACUGGGCGUAAAGAGCUUGUAGGCGGUUCGUCGCGUCGAUUGUGAAAACUUGCAGCUCAACUGCAAGCUUGCAGUCGAUACGGGCGGACUAGAGUACUUCAGGGGAGACUGGAAUUCCUGGUGUAGCGGUGAAAUGCGCAGAUAUCAGGAGGAACACCGGUGGCGAAGGCGGGUCUCUGGGAAGUAACUGACGCUGAGAAGCGAAAGCGUGGGUAGCGAACAGGAUUAGAUACCCUGGUAGUCCACGCCGUAAAACGGUGGGUACUAGGUGUGGG